This 529-nucleotide ribosomal RNA is filed under the name uncultured bacterium. RNAcentral describes it as "bacterial SSU rRNA". It matches the Rfam family "Bacterial small subunit ribosomal RNA", at positions 355 to 895 of the family's 1533-position model. The record is from RNAcentral.
UGGGGAAUAUUGCACAAUGGGCGGAAGCCUGAUGCAGCGACGCCGCGUGGGGGAUGAAGGCCUUCGGGUUGUAAACUCCUUUCGACAGGGACGAAGCUUUUGUGACGGUACCUGUAUAAGAAGCACCGGCUAACUACGUGCCAGCAGCCGCGGUAAUACGUAGGGUGCGAGCGUUGUCCGGAAUUACUGGGCGUAAAGAGCUCGUAGGUGGUUUGUCGCGUCGUCUGUGAAAUUCCGGGGCUUAACUCCGGGCGUGCAGGCGAUACGGGCUGACUUGAGUGCUGUAGGGGAGACUGGAAUUCCUGGUGUAGCGGUGAAAUGCGCAGAUAUCAGGAGGAACACCAAUGGCGAAGGCAGGUCUCUGGGCAGUAACUGACGCUGAGGAGCGAAAGCAUGGGUAGCGAACAGGAUUAGAUACCCUGGUAGUCCAUGCCGUAAACGGUGGGCGCUAGGUGUAGGGGGCUUCCACGUCUUCUGUGCCGUAGCUAACGCAUUAAGCGCCCCGCCUGGGGAGUACGGCCGCAAGGCU